RNAcentral lists this ribosomal RNA (491 nucleotides) under uncultured bacterium. RNAcentral describes it as "partial 16S ribosomal RNA". It matches the Rfam family "Bacterial small subunit ribosomal RNA", at positions 29 to 506 of the family's 1533-position model. The record is from RNAcentral.
AGUGAACGCUGGCGGUAGGCCUAACACAUGCAAGUCGAACGGCAGCACAGUAAGAGCUUGCUCUUACGGGUGGCGAGUGGCGGACGGGUGAGGAAUACAUCGGAAUCUACUUUUUCGUGGGGGAUAACGUAGGGAAACUUACGCUAAUACCGCACACGACCUACGGGUGAAAGCAGGGGAUCUUCGGACCUUGCGCGAUUGAAUGAGCCGAUGUCGGAUUAGCUAGUUGGCGGGGUAAAGGCCCACCAAGGCGACGAUCCGUAGCUGGUCUGAGAGGAUGAUCAGCCACACUGGAACUGAGACACGGUCCAGACUCCUACGGGAGGCAGCAGUGGGGAAUAUUGGACAAUGGGCGCAAGCCUGAUCCAGCCAUACCGCGUGGGUGAAGAAGGCCUUCGGGUUGUAAAGCCCUUUUGUUGGGAAAGAAAAGCAGCAGGUUAAUACCCCGCUGUUCUGACGGUACCCAAAGAAUAAGCACCGGCUAACUUCGU